RNAcentral lists this long non-coding RNA (487 nucleotides) under Androctonus crassicauda. The record is from RNAcentral. Lineage: Eukaryota; Metazoa; Arthropoda; Arachnida; Scorpiones; Buthidae.
GAUUUGCAUAAAAUCUUCUGAUAAUUAUAAACGAUUCAACUCAACGAGUUGAGUCGUUACCUACACGACCAGUAUCGUUGUCUAUGAUUAUACGAACGCACCCAUUACAACGAGUUGAAUCGUUACUUAUACGACCAGGGUCGUUGUCUACGAUUGUACGAACGCACUCAAUGAUGUCUCGCAUUACGCGAUUUCCCAUAACGCGGAACGUAUCCCCCGCGUUAUAUGGGAGUGCACUGUAUAUAAUAUUAAAAAAAAAAUUCUGUUUUCUUUGUAAAUUGUAUACGCAUGGCUAAAACUCGACAUUCCUGAAGUAGCUAAAGCACCUUAUAUUUAACAACAAUCUAAACAUCUUAUGUUUGGCAGUAUAUUUUAUAAUUCUAUUGUUUAAUUAUGCAAACACGAUUUAUAUCUAUCAAGGAAAAUAUUUUUUUUUUUUUUUAAAUAAAUAUAAUUAGAAAAUACGAUGUUUUUGUUUAGAGUUGCC